AUGUCGCACCCAUACAUUCCGGUUCUGAGUGCACCGUCCUCACCCAUCCGACGACCGCUCGCCCCGCUCUGUUCGCC
This 77-nucleotide small RNA is filed under the name Xanthomonas dyei pv. eucalypti. RNAcentral describes it as "sX9 sRNA". It matches the Rfam family "Xanthomonas sRNA sX9". The record is from RNAcentral. RNAcentral also lists the same sequence under 2 other names. Lineage: Bacteria; Pseudomonadati; Pseudomonadota; Gammaproteobacteria; Lysobacterales; Lysobacteraceae.